This 503-nucleotide ribosomal RNA is filed under the name uncultured bacterium. RNAcentral's name for it is "partial 16S ribosomal RNA". It matches the Rfam family "Bacterial small subunit ribosomal RNA", at positions 29 to 523 of the family's 1533-position model. The record is from RNAcentral.
AACGAACGCUGGCGGCACGUUUUAAGCAUGCAAGUCGAAUGGCAGUGGGGGCAACCCCAUGAGAAUGGCGAACGGGUGAGUAACACGUAGGUGAUCUGCCUGACGGAUGGGGAUAGCUUGUGGAAACACAGGGUAAUACCGAAUGAGCUGACGAGACUUUGGUUUUGUUAGUACAGGUGCUACGGCACCGCCGACAGAGGAGCCUGCGGCUGAUUAGCUAGUUGGUGGGGUAAAGGCCUACCAAGGCGACGAUCAGUAGCCGGCCUGAGAGGGUGUACGGCCACACUGGAACUGAGACACGGUCCAGACUCCUACGGGAGGCAGCAGCUAAGAAUCUUCCGCAAUGGGCGAAAGCCUGACGGAGCGAUGCCGCGUGAUCGAUGAAGGUCGAGAGAUUGUAAAGAUCUUUUCUACAUGAGGAAUAAGUCUGGGAGGGAAUGCCUGGAUGAUGACGUUAGUGUAGGAAUAAGCCCCGGCUAAUUACGUGCCAGCAGCCGCAGUAA